RNAcentral lists this long non-coding RNA (594 nucleotides) under Phoenix dactylifera (date palm). RNAcentral's name for it is "long non-coding RNA (PDAC_LNC003753)". The record is from RNAcentral. Lineage: Eukaryota; Viridiplantae; Streptophyta; Magnoliopsida; Arecales; Arecaceae.
CCAUCCCUUUAUCUCAUGGGGCUGAGUAGGGAAAGGAAAUGGGACCAUGCAUAUGUGUUCACAUGCUUCAUGCUCCUUUGUGGUUGUUGCUGGACUAGAGAAAAUAAUGUAUUCACUUUGCAUGUAAAAUUGGUGUUCAAAUUAAAGUAGCUCCAGGAGUUGGCUGUAUAUGGCUUGUUUCUUGCAUCAACUUUCUACAAAAUAUGGAAUUUUUCUAUUACCUGCUCUUUAGAAAUAAAGCAUGCAUGAUGUAUUCAUAAGUUCAUGCCCAAGUCCUAGAAAAGGAGUGUAUCUCCCCAAAUUUAUUCAGACCCUACCUCAUUCUCUCUGGGAAUCUUUGUAGAACCCUACGAGGCAGUCUGAUUGCAAUAUUCAAGGAGGCAUAACAUUCUUUUACAGCGGAAAAUCUGUUUUGUGGUAGAUGUAUUAUCAAUACUCCUAAUUGUCUUGGGAGAAAUUGAUCAAAUUUUGCUUGGCCACCUGCAACUUGCUUCGAGACAGCAUCAAUUAACUUGGAUUUGAUACUAUAGAAUGAUAUGAAGAAAGGCAGAAAUGAGCUUGGAAGCUUAAAUCUAACCAAUCCAGGCAUCAAAC